UGUGUUCUUGAAGCUGAGGUUGCUGUCAGUCAGGUUGACUAUAUGGCCGAAGUCCAGGAAACUUGGUUUUGUCCUCCUAUAAAGCCCUUACACCAUGAAGAUGAAAGGCAAGGGUAUUCAGAUGUGGAAGCUGUUCAACUUACAGCGCCUAUUUCUGAACAGGUGCUUGCUUUUCAGGAUGCACCAAGUUCUGAACAAAAGCAAACAAAUGCUGAUUUUGAGCAAGUUCUAAUCUCUUCAGUAGCAGUUACGACACCUAGUUCUGCUCAAGUUCUGGCCUUGUGGGAUGGACCAAGUGAUGGACAAGUUUGGACUGGGGGUGACGAUAGCCCUGUCGGAUCUCCGAUAGGCAAGGAACAUGGGCAAAAAACCUCUGCCCCAGUUGGCGAGCUCAUGGAUUUCAGGGGUUUAGGGAAAAUAGACAAAGCUUUUGUUCCAUUCCUAGAGGAAGUCUGUUUGUUGCAUCCUUCAUUGAUCGAGUGCCAAAGGAAGAGGAGUCCUAUGUUUACUGAAUGGGCAUUCACAGCUUUGGGUAGACUCCUGCAUUUUCUAAAGACUAACAAGGGUACAGAUAUGAACGAGGAUGCUUGUGAGCACCUUCGACUUUUAUGGGAGGAGCUUGAGUCCUUCAGAUUUGACUUGGCUUGGUUGGAGCCUCAUGUUCAAUCCGCAUUGGGUAUGAAGAAGUUUGUGGACAGGGAACUAGAGGUAAGAGAGCUGAGAAAUAAUGUGGAUGCUUUGGAGAAUGAAGUCAAGAGGUUGAAGGCUAGGCUAAAUUUGGCAGAGUUAGAUUUUGAGGAUGCGAAAAGAGACAUGGGAGAGGCCGAAGAAAGCUUUGUUGAAAUAAAUAUGGAUAGCGAGCUUGGUUAUGGUGGGAGGCAUUAGCCGUACUGCUUCUCCCUUCGAUGUGAAAACGAUAUGCAACGUAUAUAUGUAUUACAAGCAAAACUCCCUUGUUAAGGGUGAUCCUGUUUUUAAGCCACGGUGAGGGAGAACCCCCUCCAUUGCAAUAUUUGUUAUGAACCAAACCCCCUCCAUCUGAACAAUAUCAAAAUCCCUAUUGUGGGGAGCUCCAAUACUAUCGAGCAACCACUUGUCAACCGGUAUGAGAAUUUUCACCUUAAUUUGACGUUGAGUAUUUUGCUUAUGUGGGUUUAAUUUUGAUGAUUUAGGGUCGUUAAAUUCGUUGAAAAUCUGCUUGGUCUUCCUUCUGUUAUUGCUGGUUGUUUUUAUUCGCUUUCUUUAUCGUUUUGACUUAAUUCUUGCGGCACUUGGGCGUUAUGUAUUAUAUUUCAGGGCUUUUAUCGAGAGCCCUGAAAACUGCAUGGUAUGACAAAUUUGGUCAUGUUUACUCUGCUUAAAAAUGCAGGCAUCAUAAUGUUUUUUAUGUCGGACGGCCAGGUUCGGGGAGUAGACAGCGGUGAUCGCUGAACUGAGCAGAUUGGAAUUCAUCAGUGUCUAAAGUUGAAGUAACUGGGGAAGAGCUUUGGAGGAAGGGAACAUUGUAAAUAAUUGUAUCACAACGCUAGCUGUACUUGCAGUGUUUUUAUGCAAUCUUUUUUUUAAUAUUCAUGUUUAUGCAGAAGCAAGGUUUUAAAGGCGCUAGUAAGGAGACGAGCAAGG
Molecule: long non-coding RNA, 1623 nt
Filed under: Malus domestica (apple)
Lineage: Eukaryota; Viridiplantae; Streptophyta; Magnoliopsida; Rosales; Rosaceae
Description: long non-coding RNA (MDOM_LNC021152)
Source: RNAcentral